Molecule: ribosomal RNA, 925 nt
Filed under: uncultured bacterium
Lineage: Bacteria
Description: bacterial SSU rRNA
Rfam family: Bacterial small subunit ribosomal RNA
Source: RNAcentral
CCGAACGUUGGCGGCGUGGAUUAGGCAUGCAAGUCGAACGAAUCCCGGGGUAGCAAUACCUCGGGGGAAGUGGCGAAAGGGGCAGUAAUACAUGGAUAACCUACCCUGGGGAUGGGCAUAGCCGUUCUAACGAACGGGUAAUACCCAGCGAGUCGACGGGUCGGCAUCGAUCUGUCGGGAAAUGAAUUUCGCCUCGGGAGGGGUCCAUGCGAUAUCAGCUAGUUGGUGGGGUAACGGCCCACCAAGGCUUAGACGUCUAGCGGGUGUGAGAGCACGACCCGCGCCACUGGCACUGAGACACUGGCCAGACACCUACGGGUGGCUGCAGUCGAGGAUCUUCGUCAAUGGGCGCAAGCCUGAACGAGCGAUGCCGCGUGAGCGAUGAAGGCCUUCGGGUUGUAAAGCUCAAAAGGGGUGAGAAAGGGAAACUUGAUCGAACCCCAGUAAGCUCGGGCUAAGUUCGUGCCAGCAGCCGCGGUAAGACGAACCGAGCGAACGUUGUUCGGAAUCACUGGGCUUAAAGGGCGCGUAGGCGGGUGCUCAAGUCCGUGGUGAAAUCCUCCGGCUCAACCGGAGAACUGCCUCGGAUACUGGGUGCCUCGAGGGUGGUAGGGGUAUGCGGAACUAUCGGUGGAGCGGUGAAAUGCGUUGAUAUCGAUAGGAACUCCGGUGGCGAAGGCGGCAUACUGGACCACCUCUGACGCUGAGGCGCGAAAGCCAGGGGAGCAAACGGGAUUAGAUACCCCGGUAGUCCUGGCCCUAAACGAUGGGUACUAGCUAGUAGGGUUCACAUGGCUUUACUGGCGAAGCAAAAGUGCUAAGUACCCCGCCUGGGGAGUAUGGUCGCAAGGCUGAAACUCAAAGGAAUUGACGGGGGCUCACACAAGCGGUGGAGCAUGUGGCUUAAUUCGAGGCUACGCGAAGA